GACGAACGCUGGCGGCGUGCUUAACACAUGCAAGUCGAACGGAAAGGCCCUGCUUUUGUGGGGUGCUCGAGUGGCGAACGGGUGAGUAACACGUGAGUAACCUGCCCUUGACUUUGGGAUAACUUCAGGAAACUGGGGCUAAUACCGGAUAGGAGCUCCUGCUGCAUGGUGGGGGUUGGAAAGUUUCGGCGGUUGGGGAUGGACUCGCGGCUUAUCAGCUUGUUGGUGGGGUAGUGGCUUACCAAGGCUUUGACGGGUAGCCGGCCUGAGAGGGUGACCGGCCACAUUGGGACUGAGAUACGGCCCAGACUCCUACGGGAGGCAGCAGUGGGGAAUAUUGCACAAUGGGCGGAAGCCUGAUGCAGCAACGCCGCGUGCGGGAUGACGGCCCUCGGGUUGUAAACCGCUUUCGCCUGUGACGAAGCGUGAGUGACGGUAAUGGGUAAAGAAGCACCGGCUAACUACGUGCCAGCAGCCGCGGUGAUACGUAGGGUGCGAGCGUUGUCCGGAUUUAUUGGGCGUAAAGGGCUCGUAGGUGGUUGAUCGCGUCGGAAGUGUAAUCUUGGGGCUUAACCCUGAGCGUGCUUUCGAUACGGGUUGACUUGAGGAAGGUAGGGGAGAAUGGAAUUCCUGGUGGAGCGGUGGAAUGCGCAGAUAUCAGGAGGAACACCAGUGGCGAAGGCGGUUCUCUGGGCCUUUCCUGACGCUGAGGAGCGAAAGCGUGGGGAGCGAACAGGCUUAGAUACCCUGGUAGUCCACGCUGUAAACGGUGGGUACUAGGUGUGGGGUCCAUUCCACGGGUUCCGUGCCGUAGCUAACGCUUUAAGUACCCCGCCUGGGGAGUACGGCCGCAAGGCUAAAACUCAAAGGAAUUGACGGGGCCCCGCACAAGCGGCGGAGCAUGCGGAUUAAUUCGAUGCAACGCGUAGAACCUUACCUGGGUUUGACAUGGAUCGGGAGCGCUCAGAGAUGGGUGUGCCUCUUUUGGGGUCGGUUCACAGGUGGUGCAUGGCUGUCGUCAGCUCGUGUCGUGAGAUGUUGGGUUAAGUCCCGCAACGAGCGCAACCCUUGUUCACUGUUGCCAGCACGUUAUGGUGGGGACUCAGUGGAGACCGCCGGGGUCAACUCGGAGGAAGGUGGGGAUGACGUCAAGUCAUCAUGCCCCUUAUGUCCAGGGCUUCACGCAUGCUACAAUGGCUGGUACAGAGAGUGGCGAGCCUGUGAGGGUGAGCGAAUCUCGGAAAGCCGGUCUCAGUUCGGAUUGGGGUCUGCAACUCGACCUCAUGAAGUCGGAGUCGCUAGUAAUCGCAGAUCAGCAACGCUGCGGUGAAUACGUUCCCGGG
This 1343-nucleotide ribosomal RNA is filed under the name uncultured bacterium. RNAcentral describes it as "16S ribosomal RNA". It matches the Rfam family "Bacterial small subunit ribosomal RNA", at positions 28 to 1378 of the family's 1533-position model. The record is from RNAcentral.